Molecule: ribosomal RNA, 315 nt
Filed under: Escherichia coli
Lineage: Bacteria; Pseudomonadati; Pseudomonadota; Gammaproteobacteria; Enterobacterales; Enterobacteriaceae
Description: bacterial SSU rRNA
Rfam family: Bacterial small subunit ribosomal RNA
Source: RNAcentral
GCAUGUGGUUUAAUUCGAUGCAACGCGAAGAACCUUACCUGGUCUUGACAUCCACGGAAGUUUUCAGAGAUGAGAAUGUGCCUUCGGGAACCGUGAGACAGGUGCUGCAUGGCUGUCGUCAGCUCGUGUUGUGAAAUGUUGGGUUAAGUCCCGCAACGAGCGCAACCCUUAUCCUUUGUUGCCAGCGGUCCGGCCGGGAACUCAAAGGAGACUGCCAGUGAUAAACUGGAGGAAGGUGGGGAUGACGUCAAGUCAUCAUGGCCCUUACGACCAGGGCUACACACGUGCUACAAUGGCGCAUACAAAGAGAAGCGA